Molecule: ribosomal RNA, 468 nt
Filed under: uncultured bacterium
Lineage: Bacteria
Description: partial 16S ribosomal RNA
Rfam family: Bacterial small subunit ribosomal RNA
Source: RNAcentral
GACGAACGCUGGCGGCGUGCUUAACACAUGCAAGUCGAACGGAAAGGCCCUGCUUUUGUGGGGUGCUCGAGUGGCGAACGGAUGAGUAACCCGUGAGUAACCUGCCCUUGACUUUGGGAUAACUUCAGGAAACUGGGGCUAAUACCGGAUAGGAGCUCCUGCUGCCAGGUGGGGGUUGGAAAGUUUCGGCGGUUGGGGAUGGACUCGCGGCUUAUCAGCUUGUUGGUGGGGUAGUGGCUUACCAAGGCUUUGACGGGUAGCCGGCCUGAGAGGGUGACCGGCCACAUUGGGACUGAGAUACGGCCCAGACUCCUACGGGAGGCAGCAGUGGUGAAUAUUGCACAAUGGGCGGAAGCCUGAUGCAGCAACGCCGCGUGCUGGAUGACGGCCUUCGGGUUGUCAACCGCUUUCGCCUGUGACGAAGCGUGAGUGACGGUAAUGGGUAAAGAAGCACCGGCUAACUACGUG